Molecule: transfer RNA, 499 nt
Filed under: uncultured Burkholderiales bacterium
Lineage: Bacteria; Pseudomonadati; Pseudomonadota; Betaproteobacteria; Burkholderiales
Description: 16S-23S ribosomal RNA intergenic spacer
Rfam family: tRNA (bases 87-160)
Source: RNAcentral
CUUGCAAGUGGGCUGUUGCGUUCACCCUUAUCGGCUGUUAUCCGGGCACAGAAGGGAAGAUUUUCUUUUUUGUGCGAGGGAUCAGCGGGUCUGUAGCUCAGCUGGUCAGAGCACACGCUUGAUAAGCGUGGGGUCGUAGGUUCAAGUCCUACCAGACUCACCAUAUCAGGGCUCAGUGGAGCGGGAUGAGCGAGGUAAGGAGGCGUGAGCCAUGCCUUAAGGCGCGGAUUUCUGUAGCGAGCUGAAUUCUGAUAGGGGGCAUAGCUCAGCUGGGAGAGCGCCUGCUUUGCAAGCAGGAGGUCGACGGUUCGAACCCGUCUGUCUCCACCAGUCAGGCCAGCGCACAGGCUCGGGUUCUUUAACAAAGAGGGAAGAAGUUGGACUGUCAUGGGCAUCAGCCAAGCGGUGGUGCGCAUGACAGGGGGUGAUUGAAUCGACCGGAUGGGCGCGGACAAAAGGCGCGCGCAUACGGAUUAUUCGCGAGACAGGCGUGUUAUAG